This 72-nucleotide transfer RNA is filed under the name Dallia pectoralis (Alaska blackfish). Its description in RNAcentral is "tRNA-Thr". The stretch from base 8 to 64 matches the Rfam family "tRNA", at positions 8 to 63 of the family's 71-position model. From Rfam's summary of the family: Transfer RNA (tRNA) molecules are approximately 80 nucleotides in length. The record is from RNAcentral. Lineage: Eukaryota; Metazoa; Chordata; Actinopteri; Esociformes; Umbridae.
UCAGUGAUAGCUCAGUGGUAUAGUGCAUGCUUUGUGUGCAUGACGUCCUGGGUUCAAAACCCAGCUGCUCCC